RNAcentral lists this ribosomal RNA (393 nucleotides) under uncultured bacterium. RNAcentral's name for it is "partial 16S ribosomal RNA". It matches the Rfam family "Bacterial small subunit ribosomal RNA", at positions 523 to 918 of the family's 1533-position model. The record is from RNAcentral.
AUACGGAAGGUCCGGGCGUUAUCCGGAUUUAUUGGGUUUAAAGGGAGCGCAGGCGGAGAUGCAAGCGUGACGUCAAAUUUCGGGGCUCAACCCCGUCUCGCGUCGCGAACUGCGUCCCUUGGUUGCGGGAAGGGGAGGCGGAACUCGUGGUGUAGCGGGGAAAUGCAUAGAUAUCACGAAGAACUCCGAUCGCGAAGGCAGCCUUCCGGCCCGUCAACGACGCUCAUGCUCGAAGGUGCGGGUAUCAAACAGGAUUAGAUACCCUGGUAGUCCGCACAGUAAACGAUGGACACCCGCGGUUUGGCCUGUAUGGCUGAGCCGCCAAGCGAAAGCGUUAAGUGUCCCACCUGGGGAGUACGCCGGCAACGGUGAAACUCAAAUGAAUGGACGGGG